Molecule: ribosomal RNA, 468 nt
Filed under: uncultured bacterium
Lineage: Bacteria
Description: partial 16S ribosomal RNA
Rfam family: Bacterial small subunit ribosomal RNA
Source: RNAcentral
GACGAACGCUGGCGGCGUGCUUAACACAUGCAAGUCGAACGGAAAGGCCCUGCUUUUGUGGGGUGCUCGAGUGGCGAACGGGUGAGUAACACGUGAGUAACCUGCCCUUGACUUUGGGAUAACUUCAGGAAACUGGGGCUAAUACAGGAUAGGAGCUCCUGCUGCAUGGUGGGGGUUGGAAAGUUUCGGCGGUUGGGGAUGGACUCGCGGCUUAUCAGCUUGUUGGUGGGGUAGUGGCUUACCAAGGCUUUGACGGGUAGCCGGCCUGAGAGGGUGACCGGCCACAUUGGGACUGAGAUACGGCCCAGACUGCUACGGGAGGCAGCAGUGGGGAAUAUUGCACAAUGGGCGGAAGCCUGAUGCAGCAACGCCGCGUGCGGGAUGACGGCCUUCGGGUUGUAAACCGCUUUCGCCUGUGACGAAGCGUGAGUGACGGUAAUGGGUAAAGAAGCACCGGCUAACUACGUG